GCCUUUAUUGAUGAUCAAAUGAAUACUUUUGUUCUUCCAAGAUAACCACAUGCGGAAAAGCUUUUUUGGAGACAUGAACUAAAGAGGC
Small nucleolar RNA from Amaranthus tricolor (Joseph's coat), 88 nucleotides. RefSeq annotates it as small nucleolar RNA Z159/U59. The record is from RefSeq and is a predicted model, not a curated record. NCBI's taxonomy places the organism in Eukaryota, Viridiplantae, Streptophyta, Magnoliopsida, Caryophyllales, Amaranthaceae. The transcript has a single exon.